Molecule: transfer RNA, 76 nt
Filed under: Acidobacteria bacterium 13_1_20CM_3_53_8
Lineage: Bacteria; Pseudomonadati; Acidobacteriota
Description: tRNA-Thr
Rfam family: tRNA
About the family: Transfer RNA (tRNA) molecules are approximately 80 nucleotides in length. Their secondary structure includes four short double-helical elements and three loops (D, anti-codon, and T loops). Further hydrogen bonds mediate the characteristic L-shaped molecular structure. tRNAs have two regions of fundamental functional importance: the anti-codon, which is responsible for specific mRNA codon recognition, and the 3' end, to which the tRNAs corresponding amino acid is attached (by aminoacyl-tRNA synthetases). tRNAs cope with the degeneracy of the genetic code in two manners: having more than one tRNA (with a specific anti-codon) for a particular amino acid; and 'wobble' base-pairing, i.e. permitting non-standard base-pairing at the 3rd anti-codon position.
Source: RNAcentral
GCCACCUUAGCUCAGUUGGCAGAGCGACGGUUUCGUAAACCGUAGGUCUCCGGUUCAACCCCGGAAGGUGGCUCCA